AUACUUACCUGGACGGGGUCGACGGGUGAUCAAGAAGGCUCGUGGCCUGGGCCAGUGGCCCACAUUGCACUUGGUUGGGUGCGCUGGCCCACCAUCUCCCCAAGUGGGAGAGUGGACGUCAUAAUUUGUGGUAGAGGGGGUACGCGUUCGCGCGGCCCCUG
Molecule: small nuclear RNA, 161 nt
Filed under: Hordeum vulgare subsp. vulgare (domesticated barley)
Lineage: Eukaryota; Viridiplantae; Streptophyta; Magnoliopsida; Poales; Poaceae
Description: U1 spliceosomal RNA
Rfam family: U1 spliceosomal RNA
About the family: U1 is a small nuclear RNA (snRNA) component of the spliceosome (involved in pre-mRNA splicing). Its 5' end forms complementary base pairs with the 5' splice junction, thus defining the 5' donor site of an intron.
Source: Rfam by way of RNAcentral